GGAGAGGUGGGAGAGUCUGGUUUAAUCCACCAACUUGGAAAGUUGGCAUGCCAAUUGGCAUCGCAAGUUCGAAUCUUGUCCUCUCCGCCA
RNAcentral lists this transfer RNA (90 nucleotides) under Candidatus Pelagibacter sp. Its description in RNAcentral is "tRNA-Ser". It matches the Rfam family "tRNA". Rfam says of the family: Transfer RNA (tRNA) molecules are approximately 80 nucleotides in length. Their secondary structure includes four short double-helical elements and three loops (D, anti-codon, and T loops). Further hydrogen bonds mediate the characteristic L-shaped molecular structure. tRNAs have two regions of fundamental functional importance: the anti-codon, which is responsible for specific mRNA codon recognition, and the 3' end, to which the tRNAs corresponding amino acid is attached (by aminoacyl-tRNA synthetases). tRNAs cope with the degeneracy of the genetic code in two manners: having more than one tRNA (with a specific anti-codon) for a particular amino acid; and 'wobble' base-pairing, i.e. permitting non-standard base-pairing at the 3rd anti-codon position. The record is from RNAcentral. Lineage: Bacteria; Pseudomonadati; Pseudomonadota; Alphaproteobacteria; Candidatus Pelagibacterales; Candidatus Pelagibacteraceae.